Mus musculus (house mouse) is the source of this 6815-nucleotide long non-coding RNA. RefSeq annotates it as predicted gene, 36565. The transcript is spliced from 4 exons. The record is from RefSeq and is a predicted model, not a curated record. Lineage: Eukaryota; Metazoa; Chordata; Mammalia; Rodentia; Muridae.
UGCGCAUACAUAUGUGUGUGUCUAUGUGUAUUGUAUGUGAAUGUGUGGUAUAUGUAUGUGUACCCUGAUAAGUCUGUAAAUGUUAUGGAAGUGUCACUAGCUCCACUCUAAUUUUGCUUGCAUUCUAGGUAUAACACAAAGUAAGUCACUCCAGGGAUAGCAGGGACUUUUGAGCUUUGUUGUUUAGUUGUGUCCUCUAGUCAUGCUGUCACUGCAGUGAAGUGACAAGAUCUAGAAGGUGUUUACUAUGUCUUAGCCUCACUCAGGAAGAGAUGUCAAACUCUCCCAAGGGAAGAAGGUAUGCCUUCUCAGUAAACAAGGAUGCUAGUGAUGUUUUCAGUGGCCAUUUUCCUGCAACUAUUGGAAGCCUAAGAAUCCUGCUCUUCCAUAUCACAGCUGCAUAUGCCACACCCACCCACCAUUCCAGACUAUAGACUAUUUGUCCCUUUUGGUACAGCAGCUCCAGAACUGCCCAUCUCUUUAGGAGUUCUCAGGGCCCAGUGAUACAUCUUUAAGCAGUGACUGAUUCCCAGGUGUGGGGUCAUUAUCAAUCAAGGACACAGUACAGAGCCACUGACCUUUGGGAACUGUUUGGUAAAGAAAAUGACCUGUGAGCACUUCUCUUUGUGCCAGAGCUUUCUAAACACCAGUGAACACUAAACUCAGCUGGAAUUAUGUGGGGCAAAGGCCAGAGGUCUGGCUGGAAGAAGCCUUGGGAGGAGGAACCUGGAGGAGAGGAGGUCAGGCCAGGCUAUGGGAGAGCAGUGCAGUGGUUGCCCGGAACAGGCUUGUGCGGUGUCUGCUUGGCAUGUGUGGGAGGCUGAACAGAACGGGCAGCAUUCUGCACUGGCCUUGAAUAUAACUCAGAGUUUGCAAACUGAAGUGGCUCAGUACGAACAAUAGACUGUGACUUGGGGCCAGGAGUUUAGAACUGUUAAGGUAGUGCCUUCCUUAUUAGCAUGGUUUGAAGGGAAUCUCAGACGGAGGCAGACUGACUUCCAGGCUUCCCUUGACCUUCUGUCCUGUUUGGAAUUGUGGAUGUAUGCGUGUACAGGGUGUGUGUGUGUGUGUGUGUGUGUGUGUGUGUGUGUGUGUGUUGCACAUGCACACAUGUCUGCACAUGUACACAUGCAACACAUGCACACAUGCACUUUCAUCGAAGCCAGAGGUUGCUGUCAAAAGUCUUCUUUUAGUGCUUUCUACAUCUUAUUUUAAAGACAAUGUUUUCACUGAACUUGGAACUUGAGAUCCAAUUAUCGGCUAGCUUGGCUGGCCAGAGAGCUCAGGACAUUUUGAUGGAUUUCUAGAUCCAGAUGGGGCUCUCGUUCUGGAGGGCUUUGUGACAAAAGUAUGGGUUUGGAAAUGCCUUGUGUCUAUAGGUUUCCAUCUUAGCCAGUCUCCUACUUUUGCUUUUAGUUUGCUUUUUAAAAAUUAACAGAUAUUAUUUCUACAUACUAAUGUACUUCUUAUAUGCAUAUAAUUAACUUUUAUAAUAGUCACCCCAAAACCCUCUCUCAUGUGCUCCCAUUCCUGAUUUUCUUUGCUUUCUUUCCAACCAAUUGCCCCUCUACCAUCAUGUCCUAUUUAAUUACGUUCUGGUCGUGAUUCAGUGGAAGGUUUUACUGAGUUCAAUUGGGGUUUCUUACAUAAGAAGUGGUGUGGACUCUGUACAGGUGCACAGGAAAGCUAUCGGUGGCUAUAACGCUGAAGAAAGUGUCUCCUGUUCUCUAGAAACCAUCAAUGACCACAGGCUUCUCAAGGAGGAAUGGAGCCCUGCAGGUUCCUCCUCUGCCCAUGGUAAUGUUGAUAAGCCCAAUCUUGCACAGGUCUUGUGUGAGUUUGAGUACAUGGCCAUCUGAUUAUGCCCAUAGACAGUAUCCUGUGCCUUUCUAUCCUCUCCUUCCUCCAGACCUCACAUUCUUUCUACCUUCCCUUCUGCUGUGACCCCGAGUCAUGGAAGGAAUGACAGAGAUGUUCCCUUAUGGCUGACCACUCAACAGCCACUUCUUUUCAUCAUCUUGACCAGUUGUGAGUCUCUGUAGUAACCACUGUUUACUGCAAAAAGAAGCUUGGCUGGCCAAAGCUGAGAACAACAUAAAUCUGUUGGUACAUAAAAAUAUUUAGGCAGUUUGGUAGGCAUAGUAUGACUACUUAGCAAAAGAAAAGUUAUAGUUUCUCCAUUAGAGCUUCUGCUCUCCUCAGCCAUGGGCUUCUAAACUUGUUUAUAGUAACAUGAAUUAGUUCUCUCAAGUGGAGUGGGCCUCAGAUCCAAUCAGAAAGUGGUUGGUUUCCAUUUUAACAGUUCCGCCACUGUUGCACCAGUGGGUGUGUCUUGCUUGACAGGUUGGUAGUAUAGCAUGCAGUAAUCCUAGCUGGUUGAGACUGCUGAUUUUUCUCUCCCAGAAGCCUGGAUAGCACUUCCUAGCAGCACUAUGGAUAUUAGCUAGUUGGAAGGAAGCUUUCAGUUACAGCUUGAUUUCUCUGUGUCCUGAAACCAAACUAUCCUCUCAGCCAUAGAGACUUAUUCUUUAUCUGGUGGUGGCAAUGUUCUUUAUUGUUUGGGGACUGAAGGAGCUUCCCUGACCAACAACUUAUAGACACGUAACUGCUACUGGCUCAGCUGAUAUCUCUCUGUUUAUCUGCUGGCACAAAAUUUCCUGCUCCAAAUCCAAGCCCGGUACCUGCAAUUGUGCCAUAGCAGUUAGGGUUCGGGUGGAAGUGAGGCUUCCCCGUCCUGUGCAGAUCUGAUGGUGUCAGCUCUGUGAUAGAGACAUUGAGAUCAUGGUGCUCACUCCAAGGCUGAUUCAGUAUGAGAAUUCCAGACAGCUUGAGCCAGUGACUAGAUCAUAGGCCUUCCUUCUGCUCACCCCCUGCCCCCAGCUUCCUCCAGUCCUGGCUGCUUUUUGCUUCACUUCUUUAGCCUAUCAGUUUCUCGAUUUCUGGGAGGAUCCAUUCUGUCUCUACCUCAAUGUGAACUCUGCUGAGGCUGUUGGUCCAUAGCCUCUCCGCUUUCUAUUCUUGGCAACCAUUCUCCCUAGGGCUCAGUUUCCACAGCAUGUAGGGGUGACUUUACACUGCAGUCCACGUGGGAAGAUGGCUUCUGUGUCUUGAAGCCCUCCUUGCCUCCUUACCAGAAGCACAUUCUGAAGGAUGGACAAUUGUGGUCCCUGGUCAACAGGCUCCAAGGAAAACCUUGGACCAGGAAUUGGCAGGUCCCUAAGGACCCAAGGUAUUAAACUUGGAGCUUCCAGCUAUGGGCAUUCAGAACUGUCUGCCUGAGAAUUCUUCUUAGCUCCAACAAGGAGAAGCAGACACAAGAGGCAGAGCCCAUCCUUUUAUAGCUCAGGUUGCUGCCCUUAUUAUCCCAUUCGUGACCCACUCUGUAACUCCAGUAAGCACUCUUUCUAAAGUGUUGGUCCUCUGCCAUGCCUCUUUAGUUGGUGUCAUGGUUAGCUUCAGCUGUCAGCUUGACACAAACCUAGAAUCACCAGGCAAGAGAGGACCUCAACUAAGGAGUUGCCUAGAUCAGAUUUGCCUCUACCCAUACUUGCAGAAUUUUCUUAGUUGCUAAUUGAUGCCGGAGGGCCCAGCCCCCUAUAGGUAGUGCCAUUCUUAGGGUUGGCCUGGUCUCUAUAGAAAGAUAGCAGAGCAAGGCAGGAAGCAGUAUUCCUCCAUGAUCUUGGCUUCAGUUUCUGCUUCAAGAUCCUGCCCUGAGUUCUUGUCUUUACUUCUCCCACGAAUAUUAUCUGUAAAAAGAAUUAAACCCUUUCUUCUCUAAGGUGAUUUUGGUCAUGGUGUUUAUCACAGUAACAAAAAGCUUGUCUGCCCUGCAAGGAGGCUAUUAUGGUGAGGACCUGUUGCAUGAUUUCUGGGGGAGAUGAAAACGAUGUCUAUUUACCUCAGAUAGGGCACUGAUGAAAGACCAAAGAUGUGAACCCAUUAUAUUUUAGCCUGGAGAGCCAGUGAGUUCCUUACAGGGUCAGAGGUGACUCAAGGGCAGUGGUGACAUCACUGUAGGGCCCACUCUAGCAUGAGUGGACUUAGUGAAGCCAUAUCUCAAGCACUCUCCACAGGCAGCGAGGAAGACUCUUAAUGCUUAUGACUAUUUAACUUCCUGACUUUCUGGUCACCUCAGGAAGGGAUCUCUCAGGUUGGAAAGAAUGCUACCCAAUUAUGAGGCCAUUCUUGGAGGACAUCAGUACAUAGGAGUUUUUAGUUGAGAACAGGGUGAGUGAUAUUUCUGGGUGACAUCAGCUCCUGGCUUUCAUUCAGCACAGCCUUCUCUAAUGCUGUUGGGUACUUCAGUGGCAGCUGCCCUCUUUACAUUGCCCCUCUCCCAUCUAUGUCACUGUUGCCAGGGCUGAGAGCAAUGAUGCUGAGGAUGUCUUGGAUAGAUUCAGAAGGGCGUGGUACCUGCAUGUAGAUGCUGAGUUGUGUGGGUUUGUGACUUAUAGCUACGCUUCCACCCUUUGCAGGCCAGAAGUUAGGCCUUUCUGGAUACCCUAUUUACGCUGUCUUUGAUGCCCCUCCAAAUUAGGUGCUUUGGCUUGUUUGUUACUUUUGAGAUUCCUGUCUGUCUCUCCUGUAUGGCUGGAUUUUAUGAGACCGGACAAGAGUUUGUCUCCUUUGGCCAGUCAGGUAUGCAUGAGGGACAACAGAGAUAAUAGUGACAGCUCAGCUUUGAGGUGGAAUGGAGUGACCUGCAUCUUGAGCAGGUCCCCUGGAUGGACAGUGAGGCUGGAUUAUGGUGGUGUCAAAAUGCCAACCACCAAGCUGGUCUCUGACUAGUUUGUGUAUCCAAGGAACACAGGAGAAGACAAGGGAUAGUCUUACUGUAGUUGAAGCCAUCACGUGAAAGUGGGGGCCCUGAGGGAGGCUGGGUAGGGCAAAUCAUGAGUCAUAUCCACAGUCCCUGUGAGUCUGGGGUGACAGAGAACCACGACUCAGAGAACUGAAGAACAAUGUAAAGGAAAAAGACAGAGCUGAGUAGGCUAGUGGUUCAUGAUCUAAAAUAGCUCCCUGACUUCUUGUUCCUUCAUGCUACCAGCCUCUUUUCUUAUCCAGGAAAGAUUUGAGCAGAAAGUCCCCAGGGUCUUUAGGAAACACACACCAUGAAUUUUGGAACUCUCUCGCUCAGCAGCUCCCCAGCCAUACAAAAUCCUGAGCUGUGUACAGAGUCUUCUGGAAAGCCCCUAUCCCCUGGGAAUUGGGGAGCAAACACAGCCAGAAUUCUCAGGAUUCCUAUUAAAAAGGAAUGCAUACUCUUAUUUACAUCUGACUAGUGGUCUGUUCAUAUAAUAUGCAUGUAGGUCUCUGAUUAUGUGUUGUUAAUCAAAUUUAAUGCUCUAUUAUGUCAUUUAAGGAACACUGCAGCACCUUAAAGUAGCAUCUGCCACUACUACCAUGAGAUCUAGGUCUGAUGGAGAACUCAGAGGCUAUGAGGCUCAGGCCUUGUGUUCCCAAAGAAAAUCCCAGAAACAGAGAAUGUUGAUUCACCAUGCAGUAGAACACGUCUGACGCGUCAAUAUCUGAAUGGCCUGUGACAGUGUGGUUGUCUUGGCAAUAGCAGUGACCACCCACGAGCCAACAGACGUUUGAGAAAGGCACAGAAGAGUGAUGCCUUCCCAUUUGGAAAUAGAAUACCGAUCACAGCUGCUUGUCUGGAACUGGAGCUGGUGCAGUCUCUACAUUAUGUGGUGCACAGAAAGAACCCGUGAGCCUCAAGUCUAUGUUCUGGCCUGUCUGGGGACAGCUGUGGCAUUAAACAAGAUACCUUCCUCCCCUCCAACACCAGGGCAUGCCAAAUUUCAAAGGACUUUCUCAGGAGUUGCAUGAGCAAAUGUGUCCAGCUGUUCUCAUCAAGAGGGGCAGAGGAGAGAUGAGAAGAUCCAACUGUUUCUGGGAGCACACUUUGUCUUCUUUCCUCCUUUCUCAUGCUCACUCCAUAGCGCAGGAUUUAACAUGACUAGAGCAAGACUUCAGUAUCAAAGGCAAAUGAUGGACCCAGGUGUAUGUCCAUACUGAGGGAGUCACAGCCUGAAGAAAUGAAACCCUGAGAGAGUCAGAACUUCACAUUUUACAGCAUGCAGGAAGGACGCCUUUCUUGGUCCUGGAACUUCCUAGGGUGGACUGGGGGAGAUGAUAUGAGCUCAGUGCAGUCUAGUGGUAUUGGAAGCAGGUGUGGCUGUACUGUCAGGAUCUGGAUCUGCUCCCUUCAUGUCCUGGAGGCAGGAAUUUCAGCCACCCAAAUAUCCAGGCUGCCCACUCUGCCCUUGUACACUGUAUUAAGUCCUGUCCCUGAACACGCUAUGUUUAAUCUUUAACUCUCAAUGCUAUGGAUUAUAAAAUGUUGUGAGGGUACAGGUCUCCAGGAUGGGUUAGAUUAGUGACCUGUAAAAAGAGAAGCAGAUACAUAUGCAGCUAGAGACACAAGAUGGGGGGGGGGGGGGUCCUGGUUAGUUCACAUUGUUGUCCCACCUAGAGGGGUGCAGAUCCCUUUAGCUCCUUGGGUGUUUUCUCUAGCUCCUCCAUUGGGGGCUCUGUGUUCCAUCCAAUAGCUGACUGUGAGAAUCCACUUCUGUGUUUGCCAGGCCCCGGCAUAGCCUCACAAUGGAGAUAGCUAUAUCAUCAUUGGCAAGAGAGGCCCCUUGGUCUUGCAAACUUUAUAUGCCUCAGUAUGGGGGAACGAGAAGUGGGAAUGGGUGGGGAGGGAAGUCGGGGGGGGGAGGGUCUGGGGGACUUUUGGGAUAGCAUUUGAAAUGUAAAUAAAGAAAAUACUGAAUUCAAAAUAAAUAAAUAAAUAAAUAGAAAAAAAA